Long non-coding RNA from Gigantopelta aegis, 858 nucleotides. RefSeq lists it as uncharacterized. Lineage: Eukaryota; Metazoa; Mollusca; Gastropoda; Neomphalida; Peltospiridae. The record is from RefSeq and is a predicted model, not a curated record. The transcript has 2 exons.
GUCAAAUGUAUUUUGUAAAUUAUUAUUAUUAUUUUUUGUAUUGAGCUACAUUGUCACUGUUCACUUUGUCAGUAUGUUUUGUGUAGCUGAGGCAAUGUAGCAUUAGAAGUCACAAAUAGCUUGGUGUAUAAUUAUUGACAGCCUUGUGCGUUACUAUUAAUGCAAUAGAACAAUAGAGCUGUAGCUUGGCUUGUAGUUGUUGAGAAUGACUGUAGAGUGUGGGUAUGAAAUACUGUGUGGUGCAUGCUUUGGGAGCUUGGGUGUGAGUAGUUUUGGUGAAUAAAAGCAGUGUGGUGUAGUGUACUGGUCACUGGUAACACAUUCUUUGGUAGAGACGUUUGGAAAAAUAUAUUGGAACGAGAUAUGUGGGUGUACAUUAAAAGCUGGUAUAAGAGCUUUUUAUGCUACGUGAGAUGUGCCCAGGUGUGGUGGAAGUUAUAACAAGAGGUGCGUCACGGGGUCAGGGCUGUCUUUUGUGAUGUUGAGGGGUCUCUUAGUUCGUAAGAGAUAAUGCAAUGGAAAACUGGAUGGAGAGCUGAGAGAGGUGGUGAAUUCGGUGUUUGGUGUAUCUAAGUAGAUACUAGGUGCUCCGUGGACUGAGAACUGGUUACUUGUGUAAUAACAUGACUUUGCAACUUGUGUGAUUCAUUGAUAGUUUGUUGGUGGACUAUUAUGCAAUAUUAUGUAAUAUUAUGUGACGACAUAAUAUUGUAAACUAUUGUUGUGAAUUUGGUGUGAAUGGGAUGCGGGAAUGAAUGAUUGUGUUAAAUAUGAAAUCGAUGGGUGGUAUGAAAGGGUAUGGUGUGUUAUAUUUGUGAAUAUUUAUGAGAUUAUUGUAAAUUAAAAUUAUUGUUUAUA